Molecule: ribosomal RNA, 733 nt
Filed under: uncultured bacterium
Lineage: Bacteria
Description: bacterial SSU rRNA
Rfam family: Bacterial small subunit ribosomal RNA
Source: RNAcentral
GGGGCUUAACUCCGCGCUUGCAGUGGGUACGGGCAGGCUUGAGUGUAGUAGGGGAGACUGGAAUUCCCUGGUGUAGCGGUGGAAUGCGCAGAUAUCAGGAGGAACACCGAUGGCGAAGGCAGGUCUCUGGGCUAUAACUGACGCUGAGGAGCGAAAGCAUGGGGAGCGAACAGGAUUAGAUACCCUGGUAGUCCAUGCCGUAAACGGUGGGCACUAGGUGUGGGGGCCUUUGGUUUCUGCGCCGUAGCUAACGCAUUAAGUGCCCCGCCUGGGGAGUACGGCCGCAAGGCUAAAACUCAAAGGAAUUGACGGGGGCCCGCACAAGCGGCGGAGCAUGCGGAUUAAUUCGAUGCAACGCGAAGAACCUUACCAAGGCUUGACAUACACUGGAAGGCUGCAGAGAUGUAGUCGCCUUCGGGCUGGUGUACAGGUGGUGCAUGGUUGUCGUCAGCUCGUGUCGUGAGAUGUUGGGUUAAGUCCCGCAACGAGCGCAACCCUUGUCUCGUGUUGCCAGCACAUGAUGGUGGGGACUCACGAGAGACUGCCGGGGUUAACUCGGAGGAAGGUGGGGACGACGUCAAAUCAUCAUGCCCCUUAUGUCUUGGGCUUCACGCAUGCUACAAUGGCCGGUACAGAGGGUUGCUAUGUCGUAAGGCGGAGCGAAUCCCUUAAAGCCGGUCUCAGUUCGGAUUGGGGUCUGCAACUCGACCCCAUGAAGUCGGAGUCGCUAGUA